This 104-nucleotide microRNA precursor is filed under the name Marmota monax (woodchuck). The record is from RNAcentral. Lineage: Eukaryota; Metazoa; Chordata; Mammalia; Rodentia; Sciuridae.
AGUGCAUUUGCUGGGUCAUAUGGUAGUUGAAUGUUUUGUUUUUUAAGAAACUGCCAAGCUAUUUUUCCAGAGUAGCUGGACCAUUUUACAUUUCCACCAGCAGA